UGGGGAAUCUUAGACAAUGGGGGCAACCCUGAUCUAGCCAUGCCGCGUGAUCGAUGAAGGCCUUAGGGUUGUAAAGAUCUUUCAGUGGGGAAGAUAAUGACGGUACCCACAGAAGAAGCCCCGGCUAACUCCGUGCCAGCAGCCGCGGUAAUACGGAGGGGGCUAGCGUUGUUCGGAAUUACUGGGCGUAAAGCGCACGUAGGCGGAUUGGAAAGUUGGGGGUGAAAUCCCGGGGCUCAACCCCGGAACUGCUUUCAAAACUCCCAGUCUUGAGUUCGAGAGAGGUGAGCGGAAUUCCGAGUGUAGAGGUGAAAUUCGUAGAUAUUCGGAGGAACACCAGUGGCGAAGGCGGCUCACUGGCUCGAUACUGACGCUGAGGUGCGAAAGCGUGGGGAGCAAACA
Molecule: ribosomal RNA, 402 nt
Filed under: Rhodobacteraceae bacterium enrichment culture
Lineage: Bacteria; Pseudomonadati; Pseudomonadota; Alphaproteobacteria; Rhodobacterales; Paracoccaceae
Description: bacterial SSU rRNA
Rfam family: Bacterial small subunit ribosomal RNA
Source: RNAcentral